Long non-coding RNA from Rhinolophus ferrumequinum (greater horseshoe bat), 2036 nucleotides. RefSeq lists it as uncharacterized. NCBI's taxonomy places the organism in Eukaryota, Metazoa, Chordata, Mammalia, Chiroptera, Rhinolophidae. The transcript has 4 exons. The record is from RefSeq and is a predicted model, not a curated record.
UUUCCGGGCACUGGAGUCCCGCGCCACCAUCGCCGCGGGACGUGUAGCUGCCCGGCGCGCCCCCGGCGCGCGCCGCGAAUCAGUCGCGGCUCCCUUCACCUGGGCAACCCCUGGCGCUUCCUUCGCGCCGGCUGGGAUCGUUUCUCCGCGCCAUUUUCAAACUGCCCUAGCGCCGGCGCCGGUGUUUGGGGCGGAAGGAGCCAGGAAGGGAGGCAGGUUCCAGGGCGAUGCGGGCGCAGGCAGAGGGAGCGGCAGCGGGAGCUGAGAAAACUUUCAGUAUAACCACACUGUUGGAUGAUUGUAACUUGAUUCUUAACAAUCAGAUGCCACUGGGGAUGAACACUGUUUUAUGUGUAGACUAAAGACACCUCUCUUUGAAGAGUGUAAGCCCCUCAACAAAACACCUAUGAGGAUGCCUAACCAGCUGAAUAGAAGACUUCAGGACAAGCUCCUCAGCUGGCAGGAUUCCUCUUCUGAUUGGACCCCAAGUUGUUCCACAAUUUGGAUCGAAAUAAGCAGUUUUUAAACAAUACUUAAAAUGUCUGAAGAAAUUCAAGAGAUGAUUGAUCAUAGAACAAUUCGGCACGGCAUAAACGGAGAACUUGAGGUUUUGCUGUUUAGCACCUUGUCUAAGGUAAUGGGAGAUACCUUAUUGUGGGAGAUAAUUCUAGAACUCUCAGCUGCUGAGAAAAUAACUGUUAGUCCUGAGGCCACACCGUAGGCCGAUGCCUGGGACUAACACACCACCAACAGUAUUACAAGGUGAGCCUCUCAGGCCCAAUCCCACCACACCUCACAGCCCUACGUACCUCACUCAUCUGCAAUCCCAGCCUAAGUCAUUCUUUUCUCACAAACUCCUAACCCACAAGCUCCGUUUAUGCUACUUCCUCCCCUUCAGAAACAAACCCAGUGUCCCUUGUGCCCCCAAUCUGUGACCAGCCGUCCCCCUCUCUCCAAACAUUCCCCUCACUGUCUUGCCCUGAGGAAACCGACCUGGGCCCUAAGCAAACAUCGAAUGUCAGCGUCAGGAGUUGAGCAGGGGCUUCCUUACUCCCCAUUUGGUUACUUCCAAAUGAUCUCAACCCUUCCCUCCUGCAAAACCACUGUCCUUUUAAUGCUGAUGUCAUCUGGAUAGACCACCAUUUCCUACACCUUCUCACACCCCUCUGCCAACCUCCUAGUCACAUCUCUUCACUCACUAGCUCUGUUCCUGGCAAGGAGGCUUCCGUUUCACCCAGUUUCCUUCAUCCUUAGUGAUUUCAGUACCUAAGUGGUGAGCCAUCGAAAAGCCCCAACUCUCAGUUUCUUGAUUUCCACACUCCAUUGAUAUUUUCCUUUUUCCACUUCCGUCACCCAUUUUAUGGUCACACCCUGGACCUUUACGUCUCUUAAAACAUAUAAACCUUUUCAAAAAUUUCAAAUAGAAAAAUCUUUCCUACUACAGCUUCCUAUGCAUUCAGUUCAUGAACUAUAACUGCAUCUGUGAUCUACUUAGGCAUCUUAAUAUUGAAACUUUGUUGCUUUCAUUUUAAAUACAUCUUAGGGAAGAGUGGGUAUUUGUUGUCUCCUUCCUUAGCUUCCAUUUCCCCUUUUUUCCAACCCAAAGGGCCUCAUUUUCUAUAGGAAUCCUCACCAUCCCCAGUCCAAAGCAGCCAUGUGGUUUGAAAGGCUAGAUCUCAUCCCCAGGUCAAGUUCAGCAGAGCCUGUUACACCUGACCAGUCAUUAGUUCAGGGAGGGACAUGGAUCCCAGUUUGACCAAUGAAAUGCCAGAGAUUUACGAAGGACUCCUAAGCAUGAAGCUUCGUUUUUCUUCUGUGGGAGCUUUAGGGACUUGAGCUGACGAUGUGAGAGGAAUGUGAAGUCCAUUAAUGGCACCAUGAGAGGACCUAGCACGAGAACAAGUCCAGCACCUGGAGGAGGACAGAGCUACAAGAAUCAAAAUGGAGUUGGUGUCCUGAUGUCACCAUGAAUCUAUGAGUCAGGACUCCCCAACAGCCUGAAAUCAGAACAGUCUGUGGACAACUCAGUUCCGUGA